CAAGAAGACACGGGGUGCCCGGGCAAGUUCUUAAAAACGCUGGAAACAAUGAUCAAUAUUGAAAGCGGACGGCCGGGCUGAGAUUACACUCGUCGAACCUGAUUUAGUCAAUACUAACGAAGGGAAUGUCGUUCCAUGCCACG
Molecule: non-coding RNA, 143 nt
Filed under: Bifidobacterium tsurumiense
Lineage: Bacteria; Bacillati; Actinomycetota; Actinomycetes; Bifidobacteriales; Bifidobacteriaceae
Description: TPP sequence
Rfam family: TPP riboswitch aptamer (THI element)
About the family: Vitamin B(1) in its active form thiamin pyrophosphate (TPP) is an essential coenzyme that is synthesised by coupling of pyrimidine and thiazole moieties in bacteria. The previously detected thiamin-regulatory element, thi box was extended, resulting in a new, highly conserved RNA secondary structure, the THI element, which is widely distributed in eubacteria and also occurs in some archaea.
Source: Rfam by way of RNAcentral